Molecule: unclassified non-coding RNA, 2396 nt
Filed under: Hevea brasiliensis (rubber tree)
Lineage: Eukaryota; Viridiplantae; Streptophyta; Magnoliopsida; Malpighiales; Euphorbiaceae
Source: RNAcentral
UGACAAUGAUUUUGGGUUUCUUUCCCAUGAUCACAUUAUCUUUAAAUAGGAUCUUUUCUAUAGUAAUAAUUUAUUAUUAUUUUUUAUUAAAAUUUAAUUUUUUAUAUAUUUAAAUAUUUAAAUGUUAUAAUUUUAAUAAAAAAUAUAUAUUAUAAGAUUACGUUUUACAUUUUUUAAUUUUAUAUUAAAAAAACAAAUCUUGCGGAGGGAGAAGUCCCGGCUCGCCUGUUGCCGUUCCUACUCGUGUCAAUUGUGCAAAUUAAAAAAAACCUUGAGGGCAUCAACGUAAUUAAGAAAGACUGAAAUCAGAAAAAAAGGGAGUCGAUGGAAAUUUGGUGGAUUCAGUUCGAAUAGAGUCGCGGGGGCUUCUGUUCUAUCCUCUCACAAUCAUCAUCUACUCUUUCUCUUUCUCAAAGAUUUCUACAAAUUGAAGCAUAACCCUAAAAUAUAAACCUAUAUUUGUUCGAAAGGCAAUUUUUCUUUUCAUAAGAAAAAAAGAUGCAAGGAGGAGAAGAAGUAAGCAUUGAGGAGCUCGCUUCCAAUCUCUCCACUUACAAAGAACAGCUUCAUAACGUUAGACAACUGUUGGCUGAUGAUCCUCAUAAUUCUGAGUAUGUGGACAUGGAGAAGGAGCUUAAUGAGGUGAUCCUUGCUUAUUAUCAUUUUUACUCUGCUUGUUCUUUCAUUUAUUCCUAAGUUCAAAAUUUUCUGUUGGAGUUUAUAUUGGUUAGUGACACUUUGAAUAGUUAUCUUCUGGAAAUGGUCAACUUCUCUUGUUGUGAGGGGCCACAAGACAGACUAUAGGUGUUCUUGUUUGGGUGUUGGGUAGAUGUUACUUUUUCAGCGUCUAGGUUUUUGAUGCAGUUAUCUUUCUUCUUUUCUCUCUUCCUCCGCUUUCUUGAAGGACUUCAACAUGUUGCUCAAACAAGCAACAUUAAUAAGCUGCUAAUGGCUUCCGUGGAGAUUUGUUUUCAUUUCAGGGUUGAAAAGGUGAGGGUGGUUUUCAUGCUAACUAAAGUUCAUGCACUCCUUGAAAUAGGAAAUGUAUGGAGAAUUAUUAAAAAAACAAAGAAAAAAGAAAAAUAUUGGAGCUGUUUGUAAAACUUAGAACUUCAUCAAGAUGCCAUCACUUCUAUCUUGGUUCAUUUGCAGGUGUGCUAUGUGUCGUGAUGGGCAGCCUGCCUCUCUUCCUCACCUGAUUUGAGAUGUUCACACUGAGAUUCUAAGUUUGAAUUUUCAUGAAGAUUGCCAUUUAUGAUGUUAAAGAUUGUGUUUUUAUAUUAUACUGGGCUAACUUUGUCAUGAUGCAGGUCAUUGCUCUGACAGAGGAACUCCUUGCAACUGCAAAGCAGAAUGAGAUUUCUGGAUCAGAUAUUCGGCCAGGAGCUGGUGCAUCCCCUAGUUUGCCCCAACAGGCGAAUAAAAAUGAUUCAAUGGGAAUCUCUGGUGAACAUGAGAAGUUUCCUGUUGGUGCGAAAGUUCAAGCUGUAUGGAGUGAAGAUGGGGAGUGGUUGAUGCCACGAUUGAGGCUCUUACUCCAAAUGGGUAUUAUGUUUCUUAUAAUGAAUGGGGGAAUAAGGAAGAGGUGGAUCCUGCCAAUGUAAGACCGGUUGAAUUCAAUGCUUUACUGGAAGCUGAAAAAGUGGCUGAAGCUACAAAGCAAGCUAUCAAACGGAAGAUAGCACAAGCUGCUUCUGUCGACUUCCAAUCACGGAGUUUGCCAGCAAAGCUUCGUAUAAAUGCUGAUGACCCAGAGGAUGUGAAAUCUGCCAAGCGUAAGAAGAUUCAUGCUUUCAAAUCAAAGAUGCGUUUUGAGCAACUUGAAGUUGCACAAAAUAAGCGGCAAAAUGCAUGGCAGCAGUUCCAGACCACUAAAGGCAGCACUAAAAAGGUAUGCACUUGCAAAAUUAAUUCAAGCUUUUUCUUCCUUCCUCUAUUUAGAAAUAAGGAUAGAAGGUUUUGGCCCUGUAGCUUUCCCUGUUCCCCCUUUGUCGGGUGGAAGCUUACAGAAUUAUUAUGAGACUUUGUAACUAGAAAUUGAUCGCACAGUUGGUUCUGCAUUAGUAGAUCCAGUUUAGUCCAAACACUACAAGUAUCCCAAGUGAAGUAGUAGCCUUAUUUUAUUUUAUUUUAAUUUCUACAGUACUAAUUAUGGCAUAAUUAGGAACGUACUUUUUCUGGAAGUAAAUGAUUGACAAUUACAAACUCUUCAUGCCUUGGCCUUCAUCAUCUCCUUCUAGAAUACUAAUUCCUGGAGCUGUGACAUUUUCAUCUAGAGAGCGGCAUAUGAAUUUAUAGCAAAAACAUUAGGAAAGUUGAUGCUAAAAGUUAUUUUUCGUUAUUAUUGUGUUCUGUACCCACGCUUUUUCCCCCCCCCCAAGGUCGGUUUCUUCUCA